UAUCUUUAGCCUCAAGCACAAACGUAAAAACUACAUGCAACAAUCAAAUUGAAUGGGGUAAACAUAAUCGUGAAUUGUGCUCAUCUUUCACAAUAUUCCAAGGCAAUAUCCACGAAAGCAAGAAGUAAUUCUUUUUAACGACAACUUUUGUUUUAUGUAAUUAAUGACCCAAGAAUCCAAAACGUCUACGAUUUGUAUAAAGGGCUAGAAGACAACAAAAGGCGAGUGGUCCGUCGCUCAUACUGGAUGGAGGGCGAAUAACUUGUUGCUUGUCGUCUUCCUUGCUGUCAGAGCAAGAUUGCAUUUCAAUUUGCCGAUAUGCUGUUUAUCUUUACAUCAGCCACAGCCCAGUAAAAUCCAGAUUCUGCAAAUCAUGCUAAUGCUCGUUCCGGAGGCCUCGUUCUUCUUGCUUGUGCCUUGCGAGGAGAGAUUAGGCACCAUAGCCAGCCACUGUCAACAAAGUAUAAAUCGCCAUGCUUGUCCCUCGCUAACCGAACAUAAAUAGCCUGGUUUGGUUUGCGGGGGUGCGUUAUCUUUAAUUUCCCCAGUGUAAGUGGACAAUUCAGAGUCAAUUUAAGGUGAUAGAAAAUACAUCAACAAGUUUUACUAAUAAGAACACUAAGUAAGACAAGUUCUUUCAAAAAAAUAGUCCUCGAAAAACAAAAUUGAUCUUUUGAAGAUUAAGAAUAUUCCCGUCUAUCGUGAUGGUUAUGUUUUCUAGCACCUCGAAUUUUACAAAACAUCGGUCUCGAGAUGAAAUUGCACUGUGCUUAUUGUGAGGCGACUCCUAACGUCUCUCUGCUGGGACCAGACAUUUCUACAUCAAGAGCUUGCACUAAGCGGGGGUACCAUUUAACAUGAUUAAUUUAAAGUUAUAGUGUGUCAAUUUAUCCCUCAUGUGUUCCUCUACAAUACAGGUUAGAACAAGUCAAUAUCGAACUCUACCAUUUAUUUUAAGUUUUAAAUCUGGAAAAAACCACGUAUGAAACAGUAACUUCCAUGAAUAUUUCGGUUCUGAGAAGGGCUUGUUUCAAUGCACUAAAUUGCUCUAAGAAUUUGAACCAGAGAAAAUAUUGCCACGAGAAUACGAAGACUGCACGUUAAAAAACUCGAGUAAAGUGGUUAAAAUAUUGCCACGAGAAUACGAAGACUUCCAUGAUAUAUAUGAUAGCUAGUAUUGCAUCUACAUCCACCACGAGCAUCUUCAUUAGGAGGGGAAAAAACUGAUAACGAUCUCUGCAUAAACCUCAUUCAGCACAUGUAUGAUGCCAAAACGAUCUCAAUUUGAGGAAAAUAAGCUGUAUAAAUAGGUAAACUCACAAUUAUUGGGGCCACUUAGGUUCAUUAGAACAAAUUACUUAACUGUUGUAACAAAAACAUACACACACAUAUUUUCAUAUAUACACAGAGAGAGAGAGAGAGAGAGAGAGUUUAAAAGGACAUGAAGAUUUGCUACUUGCCUGGAAUUAAUGGAGGCACAUUAAAUUACAUGCCAUGGAUGGCUGUAGACCCUCUCCAUCCGGCUGCCACGUUGAAUUAUCACUUGCAAGAGUAGUAUUCCAUCCACAAGAAUCCCAACUGUACCCGCUAUUACUCAGCAGCAGUUCCGGCAAUUCAAUCUCGCCCCAGAAAUCAUCACCAGCAACUUCACCGUCGCUGCCGCCACCAUUGUUUGUUUCGCUGCUCUUUUUCAUUGGAAUCAGUACCGAAUGUGCAGCCUUUGCUGCUGCUGCUUGAAUAUCCCUGGCCGUACACGUGGACGGUACAGGCAAGUCAUCGACUUCUUCAGGAAAAUUGAGCUGCGCUUUACGCCCUUUAAGACAAUACGCUGCCACAUCAUACGCCUUGGCUGCCAUUUCUGGCACAGGAAAUGAGCCUAGCCAAAUGCGUGAUUUCUUGCGUGGCUCUCUAAUCUCAGACACCCAUUUUCCCCACCUCCGUUUUCGGACACCGUGGUAGGCGGGGUGUCGGGUGCCGCUUCCCCGGGUAGCAUCGGGAAUUCGUAGUCGGGUCAUCUUCAGUGUGUGGGAGUUGCUCCAUACACGUUUAGAGCCGUUGGCUUAGUACUUCAUGACAUUAUUAAUAUUUAUAUUUGUUGCGGACGGUAACAAGAAAACAACAGCUAGGUAAAUUACUUAACUGUCCUUGUCUAAAAAAAAAGUUAGAGAUUGACCAGUCGUUUUAAGACCUUGUCUGGUUUAAAGUCCGGGUUCCGGGUUUUGAUCGGGUCACUAAGUUGACCGGAUCAAUUUUUUUUUUAAAUCAAAACGACGUUGUUUUAGUAAAAAAAAAAUAAAUAAAUAAAAGUCAACGGGUUUGCGGUCAGGUUUUGCCAGGUCAAUCGGGUCGCCGGGUCACACCGUGUUUUUCUUUUCUUUUCUUUUCUUCAACCUUGCCCGAUUUCAACCCCUGGUCGGUCAGGUCCCGGGUCGACCUGCCGGGCCAGGCCAGGUUUCAAAACUUUGGUUUGACCCUAUAAAUUCCCUCCAAAUUACUAUAUUUGUUUUUGCAUUUUAAAAAUGUUAUUAAAAAAAUUAUAUUUUUUUAUUUGUUUCAAAUUAAUAUAUUUUUAGAUCCUUUUGAUGCGCUGAUAUAAAAAAUAAAUUUGAAAAAAUAAAUUUUUUUAUUAUUUAAAUAUAUUUAUAAGUAAAAAAUAAUUUAAAAAACAAUUACAACUACACUCCCAAAUAUAACAUAACAAAACAUAUAUAAAAUAAUAAAACUCAAGCCAAAAACAUAUUGCAAUAAAUUUAGUUUAUCAUUUACCACUACACUACAAUGUAAUUAUUAUUUUUUUCUUACAAAAAAUCACUAAACUUAUUUUUAAAGCAAUUUUUUUUAAUUUCAUCUAUUUUUUUAAUUUUUUUUAAUUUUUAUAUCAAAUAUGAUUUUUAUUUUAUUUUUUUAUUUUUUUUAAUCAAUUUUUUAAUUGAAUUCCUUUCUCAAUUUCAUCCAUGUCAUUUUAUUUUUAUGUAAGAUUAAGUCCUUAUUCUUUUAAUUGUUUUUUUUCUUUUGAUCCUUUUUUGAAAUUGAUUUUUUUAUUCCUUCAAAAAAUCAUUGAAUUUGUUGAUAAUUGGGCUUCAAUGUUUUUGUUCAACAUGAUGAUCCUAGUCUUAUAACUCGGACAUUGGUAUUUAAUGUUAGCAUGAGUUGAUAUUAGUCUUUAUUUUAUGUAAUUUAAUUUUUUAUUUUCAUCAUUCAAUACUAGAUUUAUUAGAUAUUGAAUUUUUUUUUAUUAGUUUUCUAUGAGGAUAAUCUGGUCUCAUGACCUUGAUCGUGAAUUUGACAUACUAACUCAAAUUUUCAUGGGCAUUUUACAUAAUUUAAUUUCAUCUUGUUUUGUAUCAUAUUUGGUUUUUAUUUUUUUUUGCUUUUGAUUUUUUUUAUUUUUUUAUUUCAUCCUUUAACAUUUAAUUGUUGAGAAUUAUAAUUUAUAAUUUAUUUAUUUGUUUGUUUUAUUUUGAUUUUUUUUUUAAUUUCAUCAUUCAACAUUUGAAGUGGAAAUAUUAUUCAUAUAUUAACAUUCAAUCACCUCACUUUUUUUUCAAUAGUCUUUAUUUCUUUUCUUUUUUUAAUUGGAACCUUUUGUUUCUCAAUUAAUGAUUGAUAGGUGAAAUCCAUAAAAUGAAAUAAAGUUUAAAAAUAAAGGAUUAAAAUAUAAAAAACAGGAAAUCCAAAUGGCUAAUAUAAAAUUCAUAAUAAGUCAUUUUGGUUCGCAUGUUGAUGUUGUUAUUUUUCUUAGUUUUUAUAAUAAAAUAAAGAGAGAAACUUGCCGUAAAAUAAGGAACGAGAAAUAAGAUUAUUAAUUGGCUACAUUCUAGAAACCAAGAUGAAAGAUUUUCGUAUUAAUAACACUUUUUUUUAAGAUGAAUUCAAUGAAAGUGUUUUUUAACUUUUAAAUUGCAAGAAAAGUAGACCAUGACUGGAAAAGAUUUUUUCGGGUUUUGUUAUGCGUUUUUUUAAUGAAUUUCAAAGAGUUUUGGGUGAUUAAAUUGAUUUAUGAAUAUUUAAAGGAUGUUCAUUAGAUAAAAAAUUAAUUUUUUUUUAAUAAAAAAAACAAUACUUGGAUUCUCCAGCCACCCAAAUUCAACAUCCACAAAAGCAAGGAGUAAUUUUUUUAACGCCAACUUUGGUUUUUAAUGAAAUUAAUGACCCAAGAAUCCAAAACGUCGAGGACUUGAAUAAAGAGCUAGCAGACAACAAAAGGCGAGCGGUCCGUCGCUCAUACUGGAUUGAGACGGCGAAUAACUUGUUUAUCUUUACCUCAGCCACAGCCCGGUAAAUCCAGAUCCGGCAAAUCAUGCUAAUGCUCGUUCCGGAGACCUCGUUCUUCUUGCUUAUGCCUUGCGACGGGAGUUUAGGCACCAUAGCCAGCCACUGUCAUCAAAGUAUCGCCAUACUUGUCCCUCGCUUACCGAACAUAAAUAGCCUGGUUUGCGAGGCUGUGGGGGCGCGUUAUCUUCAAUUUCCCCAGUCUUUUUCUUGGGUCAUUUCUCUCCUUCCGUACUCCAACAAUCAGGUACAGUGCUUAUCUGCAAAAAGGAAAGGUGUGAAACAAAAAGCAGCAGCUGAGCCUAUCUGCGUAAGCCUAAGAUUAGAUUCUGUUUGUUUUUUAUUUUAAAAAAUAACCGCAAUUAUUCUCUUAAUAUACCCCCACGGAGUGCUUCAACACCAGCCGACCACAUUAAUCCGUAGGGUUUACAAGCAGUAACAAACCUAAAGCCCGGUCCAAGGAAAGAAAAAUCAAGAGCCCUAGGGACACAUGGCCAUGCUCAAGGCUAUUCAAUCUUCGUCUUUCCUAGGAGCUAGAGCUAUGGAAUCAUUAAUGGACGCCACCCACCAGAGAGCUAAGAAAACAAGAUCGGAUAAACAUUUAUAGUGGCUAUGUGUAGUUUUACACUUAUUUGUUUGUAAAUUAUUAUUUUUAUUUGUUUCCUUAAAGAUUAAAGCUAGAAAAUAUCCCUAUACUUUAUCAAUUUGGUUUCCUUUAUUUUUUUUUUUAAUUUAUUAUUUCUAUCUGCAAUAUGCUUAUGGUUUUUUAUAUUCUCGAGUUAAGACUAUAGUUAAUUUUGAAUACAUGACAGAAUUUUAUGUUGACAUGUGUGGAAGAAUCUUUCUUUCAUAUCCUCUAGGACCUCUACCUUUCUCUCUUUUUUUCCUUUUUCCGUUUCCCUUCUCGUAUUUUCCUCUCUCUUUCUCCCUUGCUUCUCCAUAUCAUCACCCAAUUUUAAUCUCAAUAGAAAGUAAAGGAAGAAAAAUAUCAGGGGGAAAACAACAACAACAAAAGGGUAUAUAUGACCUUACUUAAACCCAUUUAAUCUUUAUCAUUUCUGAGAGUUGGAACUAUCAAAUCAUUAAUAAAAAUUUAAAUUUUCGAAUAUAGAUAGCAUUGGGUUCCCAUAAUAAAAAGAUAUAAUUUUUUUCUCUUCUACUCAAUUUUUUUUCUAUCGUUGCUUCUCCUCAGUAAAAAGAAAAGUGUAAGGAUAAAAAAGAAAAAAGAAGGUAUGAUAUUCUUACUUAUUUAAAUCAUUUUGAAGUAUUGUUUUGUUUGUUUUUAAAAGUGUUUUUUACUCAGAAAUGUAUCAAAAUAAUAUUUUUUUAUUUUUUAAAAUUAUUUUUAACAUCAAUGCAUCAAAAUAAUCUAAAAACAUCAAAAUAUAUUAAUUUGAAAAAAAUAUAUUUUAAAUUUUUAAAAAUAUAUAUAUUUUUAAAAAAACGAACAAGAAUCAUUUUAAUUUUUUAAUUGCCAUCCAGCUAGAACUAUCAAAUCAUUAAUUGAUGCCACCCACAAGGAGUUUUUUGUUGUGAAUAUUUCGUUGAUAAUCUAGAGGUUGUAAUUUAGACUUUCAAAUCUAGAUAGCAUUGGGUUCACACAAUAAAAAGAAAGAAAAAAAGUGAAACGGAUAAGUAGCUUUUCAUACACUAUUUUGCUUGUUUCAUAAAUUUAACUUAAAAAAAUUAUUUGGUUAAGUUCAAAUAAGGGGCAAGGGGAAGGAGAAGGGUAAACUUCAUGGAUAAUCCUAUAUAAACAACUAAAUCAUUCCUUGAUAAUUAUAUUUUUAUGUUCCAUGACCCAUAAUUUAUCAUUUAUAGUUGCCAUGCAUAGUUUUAGACUUAGUUAUUAUUAAUUUGUUUUUAAAUUAAUUUUUCAAAAAGAUUAAAGCAUUAAAAUAUUAUUGUACUAUGUCGAUCUGGUUUAUUAUGUCCUUGUAUAUCUUUCUAGGUUAAUUUAUUAUGUUCACGUGGCUAUUUAUAUCCUUUGGUUAAAGACUCAACAAACCAUAAUUAAUUUUGAAUACGUGGCAAGAUUGUAUGGUAACACAUGUAAAACAAAUUUCAUACUCUCCCAGUCUCCUCUCUCUUCCAGUACUUUUUUUUUCUUUCAACAUUUAUAUAAUUAAUAAUUAGAUUUUUUCCUUCUAAAGUAGGGCAUGCAAUUUAUUUAUUUUUAAUAUAUGUAGCCUUUAUUUUUGUGUAAUUUGAUGUGAUAUAUACAUAUCCAUGAAUCACCGUGUGACAGACGAUAAGGUAGAGUGUUUUUGUCCUUUAAGGUAACUUUUGUGAUUACCGUUUAAAAAAGAGUAAAUUUUAAAAAAAUAUAAUUAGGUGUAAUUAAUUGAAUUUAAAUAUAUAUUUGAUAAAAAUUAUGGUUGAGAUUUAUAUAAAAAAAAUAUGUUUGAAAUGUUUAGUUAUAAUUGCUUUUCAAAGGUAUUUUUUACUUAAAAAUACAUUAAAAUAAUAUUUUUUAUUUUUUAAAAAUUAUUUUUGAUAUCAUCACAUCAAAAUAAUUUGAAAUAAAAAAAAAAAAUUUAAUUUUAAAAAAAAUACUUUUUAAACAUAAAAAUAAAUAGAGUUUUAUGAAACUCAGUUAAAAAAACAUUUAAAAACUACUUCAUAAAAAAUAUAUUUCAAAAUUAAUUUUUUAAUGAGUUUCACAGUAUAAAACACAGUGAGAUAUAUUACUAAACAUCUAAUUAUAUUUUUUACACUGCAAAUAUAGAAACAAAGGGUAAACAAACGGAUCUUUAGACAUGCAUAUCACAUUCCAAAUUUUCACAGCACCUGCUUUUAUUAUCUUCAUUGAUGCACUAUACUACGUACAGCAUGUAAACUUGAAAACUACAUUUUUCACACAGCUUUAACUAAUUUAAGCACCAGGGCACUCCAAGUCUAAUAAAAAACUCGUUUUAGGUGUUUGUGGCCAUUCCAGUGUGGUGUUUUAUCUUCCUGCUUUCCACCUAGUUAUCAGGCGCAAAUCCAAGGAAGUUUGGUGAAACUCAUCAUUUAAUAAUUUUUUUUUAUAUAAUUAUAAAUUUUUGGAUCAAUUUGUAUGCAUCUCGAUUAAUUUUUUAAAAUUUUAAAAUUAACAAUCAUGUAAAUCUCUAAUAAUUCUAAGAUUUGUGAUACUUAAACCAAUAAUUUUUAAAAAAUAAAUAUAACUAAUUAAUCUUCACCUCUCAAAAAUACAUUGCUCAAUCAUUUAAUAAUUUAGUUGGUAAACAAGAUGUCACAUACCAAAAUAAAUGAAGGAUAUAGACAAUUACAGCUGGCUGAAUCCUUCAGCUUGCGGAGUAUCUGCCUAUGGGGUAUCUUUCACAAGAUAAUACAGUACCACCUCACCACAUGAUAAAUGCCCUCUCUUGUCGUCUCCUCUCCUCAUUCUCCCUCUAAAUUCUGUCACAUGUAAAAUUCACUAAUUUUGUGGUUUCAAUGUAUGGUAGAUGGACCGCCUCGAAAACCUGCCAAAGCCAUUAAAUUCUGACCACGAUCUCCACCGCAGUCCCCUUGUCGUUUCCGGGGGGUUGCAUUCAGAGUUUCCACAUAUUUUAUUUUUUAAAAAAAUUGGAGCUUUAUUGUUAAAAAUUAAUUUUUUUAAUAUAUUAAUAAUAAAAAUUAUUUUUUAUAUAAUAUUUAAAUGAAAAAUAUCAUUUUAAAAAACAAUUAUUAUCAUAUUUUUAAAUAAUUUAUUCAUCUCCUCCAUGAAACCAAUCAUGUUUAAUCAAACAGUAAUUUACACUCUCCUCGAUCUUUUCUUUGAUUUUCAUCUUAAAAUUAAUGCUAGGCGACAAUACGAGGUGCUAAUUCCUGAUAAAUUGGCCAUGUCUACAUUUUCAGACUGACCGCGAGAGUGCUGGAAAAGUGGUUUUAUGCACCCUGAAUAUGAUCGGAGACUAACAGCAGAGCAGAAUGUUUCAUAUAAGCUCAAGCUGUGAGCUUGAAUUCGGUUGAAAAAAAACUUGUUUGGAAUUCAAAUGCAGAAUUGCUCUUAAUGCAAACUCGUUUGAUGUCGCAAAUUAUCGUCAAUGAUAAAAGAAAGCCAUCUUCAAUUUUUAAUUCCUUCAUUAGCACCAUUUGGCCAUAAAUUUACUGUUCUAAUUUGUGUGUAGUUCGUUUUUACUGUGGAGCCUUGAGUCUUCUGUACGAAUGGGAACACAUCGUACAGUACUGCGGCCGUGUUGGGCACGCAUUAUAAGAUCUUUCGCGGUAAUUUUUCUCUUAGCAAAAUAACACAAUAUUUAAUGAAAUAUCAUAAUAUAGAUAAAUAGAUUCCCAAGUAUCAACUUGUCCUGAAUUCAAAGAUUAUUAAGUUUCACUGGCAAUCUACAGCAAGAAGAAAUUAUCAUCCUUUUCUUGUUUUUUUCUCUCGAAGAACCCGCUUUGUAUGGCUAAAUUUCAGACCAUGAAAAACGUGGUGACACCGGAAAUUGCAGGCCGUAGGUGGUGGUCAGGUCCUAUAUAAAGUUUUCAAGUUCAAUGGUUUUGACUGCGUCGUCUUUGUCAAAGAAUAAAAAUACGAUCACUGAAGAACUGUUAGUGCUCAUCCAAAUAAUACAUCCUGUAUUGUAGAAAAGAAACCGACCUUGGACGAAGCCAUUGUUUCCCAGAGCUACGAGGAUCCCCUGUAGCUCUGUUUCUCCUUUUGAGUUAAAGCAGAAUCGCCUGUUCUGUCACCAUCCUGGUGAUGCUUUGUUGUAGGAAAACUGCAUUACUGAUGCUCGGAAACCCAAUGCCGAUGCAUGCCAACGCGAAACUUUAAGACCUCCCACGAUAGAGAAUUGAGAGAGAAGAAAAACAAUGAAGGCGACAUAUAUAAAAGACAAAUGCAUUCAAAAUGUUCCGUAUAUACAUCGUUUUCUCAACUUUAUUUAUGUUUUGACUCAACGAUGAUACCGUGGUCCAUAAAAGAACACGCAACCCGUCCAUCAAACACUGAUGGAGAAGCACAAGCACCGUGUGCUUGGUAUGAUUUCAGAAUCAAAUACUGAUCGCAUCCCCACCUGAAUUAAUGUGAGAUCCUAGAACUGAGGGAGGACGAUUCUGUGUUUUGUAUAUAGCUCGGGACCGAACAGAUUUUUAGAUUAAAAAAGAAUAUGCUUGCAUCAAAUUACGCAUAAUUGAUAAUUCCCAAGUCCUGGAAUAACAGAUAAAUCGGUGAACUGCUAAGAGUACUAAUCAGGGCCGUUCUGAUUUAAGUGAUCGAUGAAUUAUUAUAGCCUAGAAUUCAAUGGCUAUUUCAGCUUUGUCAUUUGUGGCAUUGCACAGCACAAAAUAGACCACGCCAGGAUGACGUCGGGGAAACGAAAGCAAUGGCAGCGAUCUCUUUCCCUGCAGAUUCACUGUGCAGCUGAGACCACAAAAGUCUUGCAGUCCUAUACAAUUACAGCGGGACCUAUGUUCCGUACUUUUUUGUUUCUCUACUCAAAUGCAGAGUAACUGGAAUUGGCCUUAUGUCUGAGACGACAAACUGAUGACAUUACUGCAUCCUUUAUUCCUUGCAUGGCAAGUGUAUUCCCAAGAUUUUAUCUUCUUCGUGAGUUUAAAAUAAAGAAAAGUCCAGUGUACGUCGACAAUUCAGAGUCAAUUUAAGGUAAUAGAAAAUACAUCAACAAGUUUUACUAAUAAGAACACUAAGACAGACAAGUUUUUUUUAAAAAAAUAGUCCCAGAAAAACAAAAUUGAUCUUUCGAAGAAUAAGGAUAUUCCCGUCUAUCGUGAUGGUUAUGUUUUCUAGCACCUCGAAUUUUACAAAACAUCGGAAUCGAGAUGAAAUUGCACUGUGCUUAUUGUGAGGCGACUCCUAACCUCUCUGCUGCUCUCUGCUGGGACCAGACAUUUCUACAUCAAUCUAAG
RNAcentral lists this long non-coding RNA (10131 nucleotides) under Populus tremula. RNAcentral's name for it is "long non-coding RNA (PTRE_LNC001799)". The record is from RNAcentral. Lineage: Eukaryota; Viridiplantae; Streptophyta; Magnoliopsida; Malpighiales; Salicaceae.